This 468-nucleotide ribosomal RNA is filed under the name uncultured bacterium. RNAcentral describes it as "partial 16S ribosomal RNA". It matches the Rfam family "Bacterial small subunit ribosomal RNA", at positions 28 to 507 of the family's 1533-position model. The record is from RNAcentral.
GACGAACGCUGGCGGCGUGCUUAACACAUGCAAGUCGAACGGAAAGGCCCUGCUUUUGUGGGGUGCUCGAGUGGCGAAGGGGUGAGUAACACGUGAGUAACCUGUACUUGACUUUGGGGUAACUUCAGGAAACACGGGCUCAUACCGGAUAGGAUCUACUGCUGCGUGGUGGGGGUUGGAAAGAUUCGGCGGUUGGGGCUGGACUCGCGGCUUAUCAGCUUGUUGGUGGGGUAGUGGCUUACCAAGGCUAUGACGGGUAGCCGGCCUGAGAGGGUGACCGGCCACAUGGGGACUGAGAGACGGCCCAGACUCCUACGGGAGGCAGCAGUGGGGAAUAUUGCACAAUGGGCGGACGCCUGAUGCAGCAACGCCGCGUGCGGGAUGACGGCCUUCGGGUGGUAAACCGCUUUCGCCUGUGACGAAGCGUGAGUGACGGUAAUGGGUAAAGAAGCACCGGCUAACUACGUG